RNAcentral lists this long non-coding RNA (904 nucleotides) under Gallus gallus (chicken). RNAcentral describes it as "lncRNA (ENSGALG00010025029.1)". Lineage: Eukaryota; Metazoa; Chordata; Aves; Galliformes; Phasianidae. The record is from RNAcentral.
GUGGCAUUCCCUGUGAGGGGCACAGCCCUCCUGGCAGAGCAGCGCCGCCCUUCUGGGGCUGUCCUCGGGCAGGGACCUCUGCGGGCAUCGCUGCGGUUUGUGCCUCAGUGCAGAGAGGAACUUCCAGCUCUGACUCCGAUCUUCCUGCCGGUUUGCCACCCGGAGUUGCCUCCAAAGGCAUUACGUGCCACGGGCUGUCAGCCCUGCUCAGCAGUUGUGCUGCCUGCACAAAGCAGAGGGUGCUGCAGAAAGCGGUAUCCAGUUUCUGCUCUCAAGAUGACAGUCGGUUUGUGCUCGUGGGGAGUAUGUGGGGCUGAGAAGCGGUGAAGCUGUUGGUCUCAGAAGCACAAACUGUCUGAAAGGCGAGGGACAGGAAGAGCUGCCCGGCAGGAGCGAAGGGAACACAAACACAGCAUUAAAGCGGCAACGAAAUGAGUUCGAGGAAACAACCGCCCCGCGGGGCUGUGCGUGGUGGGACGGAGCCCGGGAGAGCAAACGGGUGAGAUUUUGGCAUUUUGAAAGGGAGCUGAGGAAGGAGGGAGCUCUGUUGCCGUGGCUGCUGCAGGGCGCGGCUGUGCCGCAGGGCUGAGCGGUGCAUCCCGGGCUCUGCGCUGCCGGGCACCGCUCCGUGCCGGGGGCAGCCGGGAGGUGCUGCGGCUGAGCCGCCCGCGGGGCGGACGACGGCCGGGCGCGCUCCGUCUGUGCGGCGGGCGCUCUCCUUCUGGGUAAGCCGUGAGAGCGCCGCGGCCGCGGGGCAGGAGGUGGGGAAGGACGGCCGUCCCCGGGGGCUUUCAAGGCACAGCAGCGACUCUGGCGAUGGCUUCAAGGAGGAAGUUGGAGUGACCGCGGCAGCUGCUUCCCCCCAACGCAGCUGUUAUCUUAACUCCCGGAGCGACCGAUAGAG